UACAGAGGGUGCAAGCGUUAAUCGGAAUUACUGGGCGUAAAGCGUGCGUAGACGGUAGCGUAAGUCGGGUGUGAAAGCCCCGGGCUCAACCUGGGAAUUGCAUUUGUGACUGCACGGCUAGAGUGUGUCAGAGGGGGGUAGAAUUCCACGUGUAGCAGUGAAAUGCGUAGAGAUGUGGAGGAAUACCGAUGGCGAAGGCAGCCCCCUGGGAUAACACUGACGCUCAUGCACGAAAGCGUGGGGAGCAAACAGG
Molecule: ribosomal RNA, 253 nt
Filed under: uncultured bacterium
Lineage: Bacteria
Description: partial 16S ribosomal RNA
Rfam family: Bacterial small subunit ribosomal RNA
Source: RNAcentral